UGACAGGUCGCUAUAGCGAGUGACGAUGUCAUCUCGGUCGCUAUAGCGAGUGGAAGGGAGCCAAGACGAGUCCAUCUUGUUUUCGUCGUAAGAUCUCAACGGAAACUCCGAUUGAGGCGAAAGGAAAAGCGUUUCGAUGAGGAUUCAAAGGAGAACGCAAAGGAGGACCUCUUUAAGACCUGACAGGUCGCUAUAGCGAGUGAGGAUGUUAUCUCGGUCGCUAUUGCGAGUGAAAGGGAGCCAAGACGAGUCCCACUUAUUUUCGUCGUAAAAUCUCAACGGAAACUCCGAUUGAGACGAAACGAAAAGCGUUUUGAUGAGGAUACAAAGGAGAACGCAAAGGAGGAUCCUUUUGAGGCCUUACAGGUCGCUAGGUAGCGACUGACAAUCUGACAAGUCGCUACGUAGCGAGUGGAAGCAAGCCAAGAAGAGUCCUACUUGUUUUCGUCGUAAAAUCUCAACGGAAACUCCGAUUGAGACGAAACGAAAAGCGUUUCGACGAGGAUUCAAAAGACAA
Long non-coding RNA from Brassica rapa (field mustard), 517 nucleotides. RefSeq lists it as uncharacterized. The record is from RefSeq and is a predicted model, not a curated record. Lineage: Eukaryota; Viridiplantae; Streptophyta; Magnoliopsida; Brassicales; Brassicaceae.